This 374-nucleotide unclassified non-coding RNA is filed under the name soil metagenome. Its description in RNAcentral is "partial contains internal transcribed spacer 2 and large subunit ribosomal RNA". The stretch from base 1 to 120 matches the Rfam family "5.8S ribosomal RNA", at positions 35 to 154 of the family's 154-position model. The record is from RNAcentral.
GAUGAAGAACGCAGCGAAAUGCGAUAAGUAGUGUGAAUUGCAGAAUUCCGUGAAUCAUCGAGUCUUUGAACGCACAUUACACCUCAUGGCAUUCCGUGAGGCAUCCCCAUCUCAGCGUUAGAAAAUAUUCUCAAAUUUUAGUUUUGUGCUAAAAUUUGGAUCAUGUCAAGGAAGCUAUUACUAUUAUUGUGAUCGCUCUUUGGAAAUUGAUAGGUCUUUGAGUUGCUACUCAUAGAACGUGAUGAAUCUUUCUUCGUUCUAUUGUAAUUCACUCUGGUAGUCCUAAAACUUGUAUGCCUGUGGCAUAUCUUGUAAUUUGACCUGAGAUUGGGUAGGGAUACCCGCUGAACUUAAGCAUAUCAAUAAGCGGAGGA